Solanum tuberosum (potato) is the source of this 2852-nucleotide long non-coding RNA. RefSeq lists it as uncharacterized. Lineage: Eukaryota; Viridiplantae; Streptophyta; Magnoliopsida; Solanales; Solanaceae. The transcript has 3 exons. The record is from RefSeq and is a predicted model, not a curated record.
UUACUGAAAUCGUUGUCCAUACAACAUAAUCAGCUUACGGGUUCUAUACCAUUCACAAUAUUCAAUAUUUCUAGAAUUGAAUUCAUUACAUUUUCAAACAAUAGCUUAUCAGGAAAUCUUCCCAAUGGUUUAUGCAAUCGUCUCUCAAUUCUCAAAAGGCUUCAUCUAUCCAGAAACAAGCUUGAUGGUCAUAUUCCUACAAGCUUGUCAAAUUGUUCACAACUUCAAAUAUUGUCUCUAUCCGGAAAUGAUUUUAAUGGACCAAUACAUAGUGAAAUUGGAAGGUUGAGUAACUUGCAGAGACUGUAUCUCAGAUCCAACCAUUUCACAGGUGAAAUAACCAAAGAGAUAAGAUAUCUCGUUGAGUUGCAGAAACUUGCUCUUGGGUUUAAUAGUUUUAGUGGUUCACUUCCAAUGGAGAAAUUCAACAUAUCACGACUGAGAAAAAUGGCUCUUUCAUUCAAUAAUCUAUCAUGAACUCUACCAUCAAACAAAGGUUCAACCUUACCCAACAUUGAAGAGCUUUAUUUGAGUGACUUAACCAAUCUUGUUGGGACUAUUCCUCAUUCUAUCUCCAAUUGUUCAAAGCUUACUAAUCUAGAGAUUUCAGAUAACAAACUCAGUGGCUUGAUUCCCAAUUCUCUUGGAUAUUUGACUCAUCUACACUUCCUAAACUUGCAGGGAAACAAUUUAACCAGUGAUUCAUUUUUAAGCUUCCUCACUUCCUUAAACAAUUGCAGAAAUUUAAGAGUUCUUGAUCUAUCUUUCAACCCUCUAAAUGGCAUGCUUCCGGUCUCCGUAGGGAACUUCUCCAAAUCUCUUGUAAAGUUUUAUGCCGCUGCUAGCAAGAUUAACGGCCAGAUUCCAAAUGAAGUUGGAAACUUAAGCAGCUUAUUAGACCUUGGUCUUUCUGAUAAUAACUUAAUUGGAUCAAUUCCAACAUCAACUCACAACUUGAGAAACCUUCAGCGUAUGUAUUUUCAGUACAACAAAACUUACAGGAUUUAUUGCAGAUAACAUUUGUAAAUUGCAGUAUUUGGGUGAAAUUUACUUGGCACAAAAUCAACUUUCAGGAUCUCUUCCUAAUUGUUUAGGGAACGUUACUUCCCUUAGAUUGAUAUAUCUUGCUUCCAAUAAAUUGAGUUCCAAUAUACCAACAAGCUUGGGGAAUCUUAAAGAUUUAGUGCUUCUUGACUUAUCGUCAAACAACAUGGUUGGUUCUUUACCUCCGGAAAUUGGAAAUCUAAAAGGUGGGAUACAGAUGGAUCUAUCGAUGAAUCAAUUCUCAAAUGGAAUUCCUAGAGAAAUUGGAGGAUUGCAAAAUCUGGUGCAUCUUUCUUUGAGACACAACAAGUUACAAGGAUCUAUACCUGACUCAGUCAGCAACAUGAUAGGUUUGGAAUUCCUAGACCUUUCUCAUAAUAAUAUAUCAGGAAUCAUUCCUAUGUCUUUGGAGAAACUUCAAUACCUCAAGUAUUUCAAUGUUUCUGGCAACAAGUUGCAUGGUGAAAUACCCUCGGGGGUUCUUUCAAGAACCUCUCAAGUCUGUUUUUCAUCAACAAUGAAGCACUGUGUGGUUCUUCAAGAUUUAGCGUCCCUCCAUGCCCCACUUCAUCAAAGCACAGAUCAAAUAGGAAUAAAAUGCUUGUUCUAUUUCUUGUGCUGGGAAUAGCACUUGUAUUUGUUCCCAUUGCCUUUGUGUUCCUAUGGGUAAGGUAUAGAAGAGGUAAAAGAUCUCCUCAACAAGCUGAUUCAUUGUCUAUUGCAACAACAGAAAGAAUUUCAUACUAUGAACUGCUCCAAGCAACUGAUUCGCUUAGCGAGAGUAAUCUGAUUGGUUCUGGAAGUUUUGGCUCUGUUUACAAAGGCGCUCUCAGAGGUGGAACGACCAUCUGAGUUAAAGUGUUCAAUCUGCAACUGGAAGCGGCAUUCAAGAGUUUUGAUACAGAAUGUGAAGUUUUGCGUAGCCUUCGCCAUAGGAAUCUUGUGAAAGUCAUCACUAGUUUCUCCAACCUUGAUUUUAAGGCUUUAGUGCUCGAGUAUAUGCCUAAUGGAAGUCUUGACAAGUAUUUGUAUUCGCACAACUACUUCCAAGACAUCAGGCAGAGACUAAGUAUUAUGAUAGAUGUGGCAUGUGCAUUGGAAUAUCUUCACCAUGGUUGCUCCUCGCCCGUGAUUCAUUGUGAUCUAAAGCCUAGUAACGUCUUGCUGGAUGAGGAUAUGGUUGCCCACCUAAGCGACUUUGGUAUUUCAAAACUGCUUGGUGAAGAUGAGAGUGAUUUAUACACAAAAACCUUAGCAACAUUUGGUUAUAUUGCACCGGAGUAUGGACUGGAUGGACUGGUGUCAGUAAAUGCGAUGUCUAUAGUUACGGGAUUAUGUUGCUGGAAACAUUUACUAGGAGAAAGCCUAGUGAUUUUGAGGGAGAUCUUAACUUGAAGCAAUGGGUGAGUUAUUCACUCCAGAGGCAGUAAUGGAUGUUAUAGAUGCCAACUUGGUUACAGCAACUGAUAAUCGCUUACAGAAGGAGCUAGAUGUUUUGGCAUCAAUCAUGAAAGUGGCAUUAGAUUGCUGUGCUGAAUCUCCAGCAAGAAGGACGAAUAUGAAAGAUGUUGCAGGGAUGUUACAGAAGAUCAAGAUUCAACUUCUUGCAUAUUGAGCAUGUUCUCUAAAUCUCUUGUUCCGAAUCGAUCACUUGUUUGUUGCAAUUGUUAGCUAAAUUGUUGGAUUCAUGUAAAGAUUGUGUUUUUUGUUUUAGCCCUUGAUUUGCGUUUGAUGCUGUUUUGUAACGCUGAUUGGUUUCAAUAAGUCUCACUGUUUCAUUUGCAAAAUGGUGGAACUUGAUUUGCUUU